UACGGAGGGUGCAAGCGUUGCUCGGAUUUAUUGGGCGUAAAGGGUAGGUAGGUGGUCUUAUUUGUCUAGGGUGAAAUCCUUGAGCUUAACUCAAGAAGUGCCCUAGAAACGGUAAGACUAGAGUCCUGGAGAGGGUCGUGGAAUUCCACGUGUAGCAGUGAAAUGCGUAGAUAUGUGGAGGAACACCGAUGGCGAAGGCAGCCCCCUGGGUCAAAACUGACGCUCAUGCACGAAAGCGUGGGGAGCAAACAGG
RNAcentral lists this ribosomal RNA (253 nucleotides) under uncultured bacterium. RNAcentral's name for it is "partial 16S ribosomal RNA". It matches the Rfam family "Bacterial small subunit ribosomal RNA", at positions 524 to 776 of the family's 1533-position model. The record is from RNAcentral.